Molecule: long non-coding RNA, 3231 nt
Organism: Lathyrus oleraceus (garden pea)
Lineage: Eukaryota; Viridiplantae; Streptophyta; Magnoliopsida; Fabales; Fabaceae
Exons: 2
Source: RefSeq, a predicted model, not a curated record
UGAAAUAAUUUCUAAUAUUAAGAGUGGGAGAAAUCAAAGAAAUAAAUUAGCAUGGAAGAUUGUCCCAUUAUAUUAAAAAAAACUCUACAUCAGUGAAUAGGGGACACUAAAGUACACGAUAUAAACCAAAUAAAAAAAAACCAGUCUAAAGAAGAUAACUCUUCCGUAUUUUGCAGAAGCAAAAUUCUCCUCUCAAACCACAAUACUCUCACUACAAGCAUAACACAAUUCCACCAAUUCUUACACAUAUCACUACACAUAUCUAUUCCUCUCACACAAGUAAAAACUUCACAUACUGCAAUCUACACAGAACCUUUUUUCUAUCUUUGAGUCAAAAGUCAAAUCCUAGUUUUGUUAUUCUUCUAUAAAUGCCAUUAUCUCAACACCAAUAAACAACUUUUCAAGAAAAUCAAUUACCUCUAGAAACCAAUUUUCGUUCAACGUUAACAUCAUCUUCAUAAAACUUUCCAUACCUUCACUAACAUUCAUUCACAAUUCCAAAACAUAAAUCAAAAGAAUAUAAUUCAAUUUCGUAAACACUUGGAUUCAAAAAAAAAAAAAAAUAGAAGGAAGAGGAGAUCGAUACACCCACGAACACAACACUGCCAAAAGCUGCUUCCAAAUCACGACGCGUGUCGUCGAACUUCCAGUCGCUCUACCGACGAUGCCAGAUCCGGUCGUCAACGACCUUCCGACGAACAUCACACUCAACCUCAACAACAUCGCCGUUGAAGACGAAUACGACCACACCUCCCCUCAACCGUCGCUCUCCUCCCGCAGUCACCGCAGUUUCUUUCGAAUUCGUCAUAUUUUUGUGUCGAUGGAUGAUUGGUUGAGGGGUCCAAUUUGAGAACAAGAGAAAAUGAGAUGCUGUAUAAAUCAAUUGAAGAGCAUGAUAUGUUUUUUUUUACUUACUGAAGGUGCACUUGGAUUCCACAGUUAAAGUUACAUUUUAAUUGGUGUUUGAUUCAUAAUUCUUAAAAAAAUAUGAAAAUGUUUUAGUCUAUAAAAAAAUACAAAAUGUUUAAUUAAGUAUAAUUUAAAUUAGUAAUUAAUUAGCAUAAUUGGAAAUAAUUGGGUUAAUUUGAAAUUAAUUAGUUUAAAAAUUAGGAUAUCUCCUUUUAAAUAAUAAGGAAUAAAAAAUAGGUCUAAUCAUGGGAUAUUAUUUAAUUAGAGAAUUAGGAUUAAUUUAUGGGAUAACAUUCUAGGAAAAGUUCUAGGAUUUAUGGGAUAAAUUUCAGGGAUAAUUUCUAGGGUUUUAAGGGAUAUAAAUUAGGGAUAAAAUCGGGAUAUGGGAUACAUCUUAUUGCAUCUUAUUUAAUUUAUCUUUCUUAAUUAAAUUAAAUUAUAUUUUCAAAUCAAAUGGGACAAGAACAUGGUAUAAAACUCUAAGGUUUUCAAGGGUUAAAUCGGGAUAAAGGGUUAUAUCUAAUACAUAACUAUGACUCCUAAUUUAUUUUCUUAAAUAAAUUAAAACAAUAUUUUUUGCAAGGGAUAAAUGGAUAAAAUCAAUUCAAACUCACGUCAAAUCGUAAGACCUUUAUCCUAGUGUAUUAAGGCAUUUAAAAGAAACACUUCUCCGCCCCCGAUGCGUGAGAACUUUUAAGGGAUAAAAACAAUCAAUCAACCAACAUUUUAAAGAAGAACUACGGUACUCUGAUCCUUCGCCUAAUGCGAAGGUACGUAGGCAUAGAGUUUACAACAUCUCACCUUAAGGGAUGCCUAACACCUUCCUCUUAUUUAACUGACCCCCGAACCUAAUAUCUCACCUUAGUCAUAGGUUUUAUCAUUAUUUACCUGUUCCUUAGGAACGAAUAAAGGAUGGUGACAACUCUGUCAUUUUUCCAGCCGCAACACUUGCCUUGCUUGGAGCUCUCCCUAAGCUCGCUGAGCAAGGAUUCUGAUAUGUUAAAAGGUGAUUUGUGUUUUCCUUUCCACCAUAAAGCGAGAACCAUAACUUCGAUUGACACAAGGUCGAAUGCAUUGGAAAGCUAAUCAAUACUAUAUCCUUUAAUGAAGAAAUCAUGCAUGUAUAUUAAAUAAUCCUUGAUGAGUGGUGAUGAAUUAUUAUGCUUAUGUUAUGAACUAUAUUACAAAUUGUUGUUUGUCUUGAAUGGAUAAUGGUUGAAUUAACUAUGAUGAAAAGUGAGGCGAACCUAGGUUAAUAACUAGGUGAAUAAGCUAAUAACAAAGACAUAGGUUAUGAAAAUGACUUAGGUGGUGAUGCUUGGACGCGAAGAUACCUCAGUGUGUACCGUGGACGAGUAGUCGCUUGAAUUAUGAGUCAAUAGGCCUUGUAUGGAACAUGUUAUGAUGAUAUGAGAAUUGGUGAAUAUGAUCACCUAGUGAUUAAUGAGUGCAAUCACGUUGAAUGUUGGAACCUAAUCACGUAUUAAAAAAUAACCCUUGAUCGUGCACAUCCCAAUUGAGAUGCAUAUGUAAAGUAGAAUUGGGAUAUGUGCACCAAUGAUUCCUGCCUCACACUGGGUUUGAGUCUCAACUAUGGGUUGAGUCCCAUAGAGGAGAGGUGGACCUCUCGGUGGGUUCGAGUCCCAUACAAGGAAAUAUACUCUAAGUGGGUUCGAGUCCCAUACGAGUGACGGUUCUUGAUGUGGGUUCGAGUUCCACGGGGAACCUGCAUCCAUACAAAAGUAGAAUUAUACAAACAUAUGUCACAUAAGUCGUUCUCUAGACGUAGGUUCGGUCAGGGAAAUAUACUUUGUGAAAAUUUCUGAAUAAAUUGAGUAAUAUGAACUCAAAUUACAUGUUUUCAUACAAUGUGAAUAUCCCUUAGAUGCUCAAGUCCUUCUCUAUUGUAUAAGUGUACACAUUUAUUGUUUUACCGAGAAGCUUAAGUUGAGGUUUAAAUAUUAGCCCUUUAGAGUCGAGUGGACCCAUAAGAUAGGGAACCCACCGAGAUUAUUAUCUCCCCUCUUUAUUAUUGUUGCUUUUCAGGCGGUUCUUUGCAAGUGUAGGGCAAUGAUAAGCUUGCAUGAUGAUGUUUCAAAGGUUUUUGAUAUGAUGAUCUUCUCAUGUAUCUUGUGUGCAUAUAUGGAUAUUGUACAUAGAUAUUAUUUUUUGUCUAGGCACCUUUGUAUACCAUGUGCCAUAUUGUAUAUUAUUCGUUUCUACAUGUAUAUAUAAUAUUGCCGAUAGGCACUUAUGUGUAUCAGUACCAAAUUACAUUAUAUGUAAUAUAUUUUUUUAGAUGUAUAUUAUAUGAAGGUGUUA